ACUAAAACAGACCUGUUUCGAAAAGGAAAGCUGGCGAGAGAUCUUAACGCAGAGUUGAUUAUCCCUAACCAUAUGGGAGAUAAUUGGCGGGCUUUAAAAACUAGAGGUGAUGGUAACUGCGUGAACAUUUCUUUGUUAUAUCUACGUAUCUUUCUCUGCUGUUGGAGGAGUGAUAUUAUCAACGAAAGAAGAAGAAUAACAUUUAUUAUUACUUGUUGCCUGCCUUUGGUACGAUGAUUACAUCUUGAACAUUUCUUUGUUAUAUCUACGUGUCUUUUUCUGCUGUUGUUGGACGAGUGGUAUCAAGUGUGAUUAAUGGUCAAAAACUUGUGCUUCAUUUGUGAGAUAUAAAAGGUUUCUUUGCGUUUCACGACAAAAAAUGUGCCAAGCUUCUACCUUUUCAAAAUCACUCAUGGAUUGGAAUGAUACCUUCCUGAUUGUAAGUUUUGGCGAAGGUAUGAAACUUGAUAAAUCUGAUAAUAGUAACGAAAAUGUUUAAAGGUUAUUGAAAUUUUAGAUUUUAUAUCAUUGAAAUUUGCGAAAAGUUUACAAACUAAGUAAAGCCAAGUUUUUUUUAAA
This is a long non-coding RNA of Xenia sp. Carnegie-2017, 579 nucleotides long. RefSeq lists it as uncharacterized. The record is from RefSeq and is a predicted model, not a curated record. Lineage: Eukaryota; Metazoa; Cnidaria; Anthozoa; Malacalcyonacea; Xeniidae. The transcript has 2 exons.